GGCUGUUGGAGGUGAAACUCUGAAUAUUUGGGAAAUACAUCCAGAAGGAAGUGGCUGGGAUAUGACUCAUGCAGCCCUCUGAACCCCGAUGGGAGCACUACGUGAGUCUCCAGCAUCCCCCAACAUCUACCCAGGAGCAUCCGUGCCGUGCCGUGUACCAAUCACAGGGACCUUCAUUCCAAC
RNAcentral lists this long non-coding RNA (183 nucleotides) under Cricetulus griseus (Chinese hamster). RNAcentral's name for it is "lncRNA (ENSCGRG00000026537.1)". The record is from RNAcentral. Lineage: Eukaryota; Metazoa; Chordata; Mammalia; Rodentia; Cricetidae.